CGACAUCAUGAAAGCCUGUUCCUGCUGUACUCAGCUCCCCAUAGCUGUGAAGGGACAUCUUCCAAGGAGAGACUGAAAACCUUUCACUUUCUCUGGGACAGAUCAUCUGUAACAUUCACCCAGUGCUAGCACACACAUUGGAAAACGUUCUACUUUUGGCUCUUUCAUUUUGUCUUCAUAAGUGACUUUUAACUCAGUGCCAAGCAGUCUAGUCACAGUCUCUCAUACCCAUGUGAGGAAGGAAAACUAUUGCUGAAACCACCUUGUCAGAAGCAAGAUGUGACAUUUCCCAGGAGAGCUUUGAGAUUUUAUUACAGCUGGGAGAGAUUAUCUAUAACACACAUUCAAGCAAAGUACACUGUGCAGAAAAUCUCUGGCCUGUAGCUCUUUAGGAUCAUCCUGGAAAGUGCCUCUUCACAGCUUGCAGCUCACCGCCUUCACUCGGGCUCUCUCCUGUGUCAUGAAAGCACCUUAUUACUGAACUCAGUUGCCCAUAGCUGUGAAGGGACUUCUUCCAGGAAGAGAUUUAUAAGUUUUCACUACACCUGGGACAGAUUAUCUGUAAGAAAUAUUCAAUGAGGGUUCACAGAAAACCUCCUGCUUCUACCUCUUUAGUAUCUUCUUGAUAAGUGACUUUUAAUACACUCCAGUUCAGUCUACACACAGGCUCUGAUCGCAUGUGACGAAGGGAAACUAUUGCUAAGCUCUGCUUGCCAGGUGCUUGUAGUCACAUUUUCCUGGAAGAGCUCCUAAAUUUUCACUACAGCUGGGAGAGAAUAGCUAUAAAAUCCAUUCAAGGAAAGUACACUGUGCAGAAAAUCUCUGGCCUGUAGCUGUUUAGCAUGGUCCUAGUAAGGGCUCUUGCACACAUUGCAGUUCACCGCCUUCCCUCAGGCUCUCUCCCAGGUCAUGAAAGCAUCUUCCUGCUGAACUCAGAUGCCCAUAGCUGUGAAGGGGCUGCUUCAAAGGAGAGAUUUAAAAGCUUUCACUUCAGCUGGGACAGAUUAUCUGUAACUUUCAUUCAAUGAGGUUACAUUGUGUAGAAAAUCUCUGGCUUGUGGCUCUUUAGUAUCGUCUUCAUAAUUGACUUUUCAUACAUGCCAUUCAGUCUACACAGAUUCUCUCACUCUCAUGUGAUGAAGGAAAACUAUUGCUGAGCUCACCUUGACAGGAGCUGGAGGUGACACUCUCCUAGGAGAGCUUUUUAACAUUUUAUUACAGCUGUGAGAGAGUAUCUAUAGCAUCCAUUCAAGGAAAGUACAAUGUGCAGAAAAUCUCUGGCUUGUAGAUGGUUAGGAUCGUCCUUCUAAGUGCCUUCUCACACUGCAGUCCUGAGCCUUUGCUCGGAUUCUCUCUUCCAUUGCAUGAAACAUGUUUCUGCUGAACUCAGCUGCCCAUAUUGUGAAGGGGUUUCUUCCAUGGGGAGAUUGAAAAGUCUUCACUACAGCCAGGACAGGUUAUCUGUAACGUCAUUCAAAGAGGGUAUACAGUGUGGAAAAGGUCCUGCUUGUGGCUGUUUUGGAUCUUCUUGAUAAGUGACUUUUAAUACAUUGCCAUUCAGGCUACACACAGGCUCUCACGUGUGAUGAAGGAAAAUUCUGGCUGAGCUCUUCUUGCUCAGAGUCAUAUUGAUAUUUUCCUAAAAGGGCUUUUAAACAUUUCUCUACAGUUUGAAGAGAAUAUCUAUAAUAUCAAUUGAAAGAAAGUGCACUGUGCAGAAAAGCUCUCAACUCUAGCUCUUUAGGAUCAUCAGCAAGUGUCUUUUCAUACAUUGCAGUUCAGGCCCUUCACUCAGGCUCUCGCUCACAUGUAUUGGAAGAAUGUUCCUCCUGAACUCUGCUUCCUGGUAGGUGUUAAAGGUUUUGUUUCUAGAAGAGAUUUAAAAUUUUCUUUUAAAAUUUCCACUACAGCUGGGACACAUUAUCUGUAACAUCCA
Molecule: long non-coding RNA, 1936 nt
Filed under: Equus caballus (horse)
Lineage: Eukaryota; Metazoa; Chordata; Mammalia; Perissodactyla; Equidae
Description: lncRNA (ENSECAG00000060018.1)
Source: RNAcentral